Molecule: ribosomal RNA, 301 nt
Filed under: uncultured bacterium
Lineage: Bacteria
Description: partial 16S ribosomal RNA
Rfam family: Bacterial small subunit ribosomal RNA
Source: RNAcentral
CAGUAGCCACGGUAAUACGAAGGGUGCAAGCGUUAAUCGGAAUUACUGGGCGUAAAGCGUGCGUAGGCGGUUUGUUAAGUCUGUUGUGAAAUCCCCGGGCUCAACCUGGGGAUGGCAAUGGAUACUGGCAAGCUAGAGUGUGUCAGAGGAUGGUGGAAUUCCCGGUGUAGCGGUGAAAUGCGUAGAGAUCGGGAGGAACAUCAGUGGCGAAGGCGGCCAUCUGGGACAACACUGACGCUGAGGCACGAAAGCGUGGGGAGUAAACAGGAUUAGAUACCCCUGUAGUCCCUGUCUCUUAUAA